RNAcentral lists this unclassified non-coding RNA (432 nucleotides) under soil metagenome. RNAcentral describes it as "partial contains 5.8S ribosomal RNA, internal transcribed spacer 2, and large subunit ribosomal RNA". The stretch from base 1 to 120 matches the Rfam family "5.8S ribosomal RNA", at positions 35 to 154 of the family's 154-position model. The record is from RNAcentral.
GAUGAAGAACGUAGCGAAAUGCGAUAAGUAGUGUGAAUUGCAGAAUUCAGUGAAUCAUCGAAUCUUUGAACGCAUAUUGCGCUCUCUGGUAUUCCGGAGAGCAUGCUUGUUUGAGUAUCAGUAAACACCUCAACUUCCAUAUCUUUUUUGAAAUGGGAGUUGGACUUGAGUGAUCCCAACGCUUUUCCUCACCGAAAAGUGGCGGGUUACUUGAAAUGCAGGUGCAGCUGGACUUUUCUCUGAGCUAUAAGCAUAUCUAUUUAGUCUGCCUAAAAACAGAUUAUUACCUUUGCUGCAGCUAACAUAAAGGAGAUUAGUUCUUGUGCUGACUGAUGCAGGAUUCACAAAGACAGGCUUCGGCCGACUUUGUAAACUCGAUCUCAAAUCAAGUAAGACUACCCGCUGAACUUAAGCAUAUCAAUAAGCGGAGGA